RNAcentral lists this ribosomal RNA (500 nucleotides) under uncultured bacterium. RNAcentral's name for it is "partial 16S ribosomal RNA". It matches the Rfam family "Bacterial small subunit ribosomal RNA", at positions 899 to 1397 of the family's 1533-position model. The record is from RNAcentral.
ACUCAAAUGAAUUGACGGGGACCCGCACAAGCAGUGGAGUAUGUGGUUUAAUUCGAAGCAACGCGAAGAACCUUACCAGGUCUUGACAUCCCCCUGAAAGGGCUAGAGAUAGCUCCGGCCUUCGGGACAGGGGAGACAGGUGGUGCAUGGUUGUCGUCAGCUCGUGUCGUGAGAUGUUGGGUUAAGUCCCGCAACGAGCGCAACCCUUGGAUUUAGUUGCCAGCACGUAAAGGUGGGCACUCUAGAUCGACUGCCGGUGACAAACCGGAGGAAGGCGGGGAUGACGUCAAAUCAUCAUGCCCCUUAUGACCUGGGCUACACACGUACUACAAUGGCCGGUACAACGGGCCGCGAAGCCGCGAGGCGGAGCCAAUCCUAGAAAAGCCGGUCUCAGUUCGGAUUGCAGGCUGCAACUCGCCUGCAUGAAGUCGGAAUUGCUAGUAAUCGCGGAUCAGCAUGCCGCGGUGAAUACGUUCCCGGGUCUUGUACACACCGCCCGU